CAGAGAAACUUGCCCCCUUGGGGUAGAUCUCCACCCUUUGUUUACUAUACCUUUGUUGCUUUGGCAAGCCUGUCUUUGACUACCGGCAUCAGCUGGUCAGUGCCUGCCAGAGGACCCCCUAAACUCUCGAUUUUGUAUUGUCUGAGUACUCUAUAAUAGUUA
This 162-nucleotide unclassified non-coding RNA is filed under the name uncultured Leotiomycetes. Its description in RNAcentral is "sequence contains ITS1". The record is from RNAcentral. Lineage: Eukaryota; Fungi; Ascomycota; Leotiomycetes.